AGAGUUUGAUCCUGGCUCAGGACGAACGCUGGCGGCGCGCUUAACACAUGCAAGUCGAGCGAGAACCUGGCCUUCGGGCCUGGGGAAAGCGGCGAACGGGUGAGUAACACGUGGGUAACCCACCCUUGGUACUGGGAUAGCCCGGGGAAACCCGGAUUAAUACCGGAUGGCCCAACAGCUCUUCGGGGCGGUUGGAAAAGGUAGCUUCGGCCUCCGACCAAGGACGGGCCCGCGGCGGAUUAGCUUGUUGGUGAGGUAACGGCUCACCAAGGCGACGAUCCGUAGCUGGUCUGAGAGGACGAUCAGCCACACUGGGACUGAGACACGGCCCAGACUCCUACGGGAGGCAGCAGUGGGGAAUCUUGCGCAAUGGGCGAAAGCCUGACGCAGCGACGCCGCGUGGGGGAAGAAGGCUUUCGGGUUGUAAACCCCUUUCAGGAAGGACGAAGCCACUCGGGUGAAUAGCCCAGAGGGUGACGGUACUUCCAGAAGAAGCCCCGGCUAACUACGUGCCAGCCGCCGCGGUAAUUC
Molecule: ribosomal RNA, 531 nt
Filed under: uncultured bacterium
Lineage: Bacteria
Description: bacterial SSU rRNA
Rfam family: Bacterial small subunit ribosomal RNA
Source: RNAcentral